UUAAAGGCUGUGGCUUNACCAUAGUACGCUUUGGAAACUGUUUAACUUGAGUGCAGAAGGGGAGAGUGGAAUUCCAUGUGUAGCGGUGAAAUGCGUAGAUAUAUGGAGGAACACCGGUGGCGAAAGCGGCUCUCUGGUCUGUAACUGACGCUGAGGCUCGAAAGCGUGGGGAGCGAACAGGAUUAGAUACCCUGGUAGUNCACGCCGUAAAUGAUGAGUGCUAGGUGUUAGGCCCUUUCCGGGGCUUAGUGCCGCAGCUAACGCAUUAAGCACUCCGCCUGGGGAGUACGACCGCAAGGUUGAAACUCAAAGGAAUUGACGGGGGCCCGCACAAGCGGUGGAGCAUGUGGUUUAAUUCGAAGCAACGCGAAGAACCUUACCAGGUCUUGACAUCCCGAUGCCCGCUCUAGAGAUAGAGUUUUACUUCGGUACAUCGGUGACAGGUGGUGCAUGGUUGUCGUCAGCUCGUGUCGUGAGAUGUUGGGUUAAGUCCCGCAACGAGCGCAACCCUUAUUGUUAGUUGCCAUCAUUCAGUUGGGCACUCUAGCGAGACUGCCGGUAAUAAACCGGAGGAAGGUGGGGAUGACGUCAAAUCAUCAUGCCCCUUAUGACCUGGGCUACACACGUGCUACAAUGGCUGGUACAACGAGUCGCAAGUCGGUGACGGCAAGCUAAUCUCUUAAAGCCAGUCUCAGUUCGGAUUGUAGGCUGCAACUCGCCUACAUGAAGUCGGAAUCGCUAGUAAUCGCGGAUCAGCACGCCGCGGUGAAUACGUUCCCGGGCCUUGUACACACCGCCCGUCACACCACGAGAGUUUGUAACACCCGAAGUCGGUGAGGUAACCUUUUAGGANCCA
Molecule: ribosomal RNA, 856 nt
Filed under: uncultured bacterium
Lineage: Bacteria
Description: bacterial SSU rRNA
Rfam family: Bacterial small subunit ribosomal RNA
Source: RNAcentral